ACGAACGCUGGCGGUGUGCUUCACACAUGCCAGUCGCACGGUAAGGCCCUUUCGGGGGUACACGAGUGGCGAACGGGUGAGUAACACGUGAGUAACCUGCCCUCAUCUCUGGGAUAACAGUCGGAAACGGUUGCUAAUACUGGAUAUGAGCUUGCAAGGCAUCUUGUGGGUUGGAAAGAUUUUUUUUGGUUGGGGAUGGACUCGCGGCCUAUCAGCUUGUUGGUGAGGUAGUGGCUCACCAAGGCUUCGACGGGUAGCCGGCCUGAGAGGGCGACCGGCCACAUUGGGACUGAGAUACGGCCCAAACUCCUACGGGAGGCAGCAGUGGGGAAUAUUGCACAAUGGACGGAAGUCUGAUGCAGCAACGCCGCGUGCGGGAUGACGGCCUUCGGGUUGUAAACCGCUUUCAAUUGUGACGAAGCUUUUUUGUGACGGUAGCAGUAGAAGAAGCACCGGCUAACUACGUG
This 467-nucleotide ribosomal RNA is filed under the name uncultured bacterium. RNAcentral's name for it is "partial 16S ribosomal RNA". It matches the Rfam family "Bacterial small subunit ribosomal RNA", at positions 29 to 507 of the family's 1533-position model. The record is from RNAcentral.